This 34-nucleotide ribosomal RNA is filed under the name Escherichia coli. The record is from RNAcentral. Lineage: Bacteria; Pseudomonadati; Pseudomonadota; Gammaproteobacteria; Enterobacterales; Enterobacteriaceae.
UCCCACCUGACCCCAUGCCGAACUCAGAAGUGAA